GACGUAGGGGGCGAGCGUUGUCCGGAUUCAUUGGGCGUAAAGCGCGCGUAGGCGGCCCGAUAAGUCGGAUGUGAAAUCUCACGGCUCAACCGUGGAACUGCAUUCGAUACUGUCGGGCUAGAGGCAGGUAGGGGAGAUCGGAAUUCCCGGUGUAGCGGUGAAAUGCGCAGAUAUCGGGAGGAACACCGGUGGCGAAGGCGGAUCUCUGGGCCUGUCCUGACGCUGAGGCGCGAAAGCGUGGGGAGCAAACAGG
This 253-nucleotide ribosomal RNA is filed under the name uncultured bacterium. RNAcentral describes it as "partial 16S ribosomal RNA". It matches the Rfam family "Bacterial small subunit ribosomal RNA", at positions 524 to 776 of the family's 1533-position model. The record is from RNAcentral.